GAUGAACGCUGGCGGCGUGCCUAAUACAUGCAAGUCGAGCGAACGGACGAGAAGCUUGCUUCUCCGAUGUUAGCGGCGGACGGGUGAGUAACACGUGGAUAACCUACCUAUAAGACUGGGAUAACUUCGGGAAACCGGAGCUAAUACCGGAUAAUAUUUUGAACCGCAUGGUUCAAAAGUGAAAGACGGUCUUGCUGUCACUUAUAGAUGGAUCCGCGCUGCAUUAGCUAGUUGGUAAGGUAACGGCUUACCAAGGCAACGAUGCAUAGCCGACCUGAGAGGGUGAUCGGCCACACUGGAACUGAGACACGGUCCAGACUCCUACGGGAGGCAGCAGUAGGGAAUCUUCCGCAAUGGGCGAAAGCCUGACGGAGCAACGCCGCGUGAGUGAUGAAGGUCUUCGGAUCGUAAAACUCUGUUAUUAGGGAAGAACAUAUGUGUAAGUAACUGUGCACAUCUUGACGGUACCUAAUCAGAAAGCCACGGCUAACUACGUGCCAGCAGCCGCGGUAAUACGUAGGUGGCAAGCGUUAUCCGGAAUUAUUGGGCGUAAAGCGCGCGUAGGCGGUUUUUUAAGUCUGAUGUGAAAGCCCACGGCUCAACCGUGGAGGGUCAUUGGAAACUGGAAAACUUGAGUGCAGAAGAGGAAAGUGGAAUUCCAUGUGUAGCGGUGAAAUGCGCAGAGAUAUGGAGGAACACCAGUGGCGAAGGCGACUUUCUGGUCUGUAACUGACGCUGAUGUGCGAAAGCGUGGGGAUCAAACAGG
Molecule: ribosomal RNA, 766 nt
Filed under: Staphylococcus aureus
Lineage: Bacteria; Bacillati; Bacillota; Bacilli; Caryophanales; Staphylococcaceae
Description: bacterial SSU rRNA
Rfam family: Bacterial small subunit ribosomal RNA
Source: RNAcentral